Molecule: ribosomal RNA, 517 nt
Filed under: uncultured fungus
Lineage: Eukaryota; Fungi
Description: SSU rRNA
Rfam family: Eukaryotic small subunit ribosomal RNA
Source: RNAcentral
AUUAGAUAAAAAGCCAAUGCCCUUCGGGGCUUUCUGGUGAUUCAUAAUAACUAAACGAAUCGCAUGGCCUUGCGCCGGCGAUGGUUCAUUCAAAUUUCUGCCCUAUCAACUUUCGAUUGUAGGAUAGAGGCCUACAAUGGUUUCAACGGGUAACGGAGAAUUAGGGUUCGGUUCCGGAGAGGGAGCCUGAGAAACGGCUACCACAUCCAAGGAAGGCAGCAGGCGCGCAAAUUACCCAAUCCCGACACGGGGAGGUAGUGACAAUAAAUACUGAUACAGGGCUCUUUUGGGUCUUGUAAUUGGAAUGAGUACAAUUUAAAUCCCUUAACGAGGAACAAUUGGAGGGCAAGUCUGGUGCCAGCAGCCGCGGUAAUUCCAGCUCCAAUAGCGUAUAUUAAAGUUGUUGCAGUUAAAAAGCUCGUAGUUGAACCUUGGGUCUGGCUGGCCGGUCCGCCUCACCGCGUGCACUGGUCCGGCCGGACCUUUCCUCUUGGGGAUCCGCAUGCCCUUUGCUGGG